UAGCAUAAUCAUUAGUUUUUUAAUUGAAAACUGGAAUGAAAGGUUAAAUAAAAAAUAAUCUUUAUUAAUUUUAUAAUUUUUGAAUUUGUUUUUUUAGUAAAAAAACUAAAAUUUCAAAAAAAGACGAUAAGACCCUAUAAAGCUUUAUAACAUAAAAUUUAAUAAUUUAUUAGAAUAUUAAAAUUAAUUUUUUUUUUAUUAUUUAAUUGGGGUGAUUAAAAGAUUUAUUAAACUCUUUUAUAAAACAAAACAUAUAUAAAUGUAUUUAGAUCCUAAUAAUUUUUAGAUUAAAAAAAUAAGUUACUUUAGGGAUAACAGCGUAAUUUUUUUGAAGAGUUCUAAUCGAUAAAAAAGAUUGCGACCUCGAUGUUGAAUUAAGAUAAAAGUUAGGUGUAGAAGUUUAAUUUUU
Molecule: ribosomal RNA, 409 nt
Filed under: Parapsectra mendli
Lineage: Eukaryota; Metazoa; Arthropoda; Insecta; Diptera; Chironomidae
Description: partial 16S ribosomal RNA
Source: RNAcentral